GAAUAUUGGACAAUGGGCGGAAGCCUGAUCCAGCCAUGCCGCGUGUGUGAAGAAGGCCUUUUGGUUGUAAAGCACUUUAAGCGAGGAGGAGGAGCUCUUGGUUAAUACCCAAGAUGCUUGGACGUUACUCGCAGGAUAAGCACCGGCGACCUCUGUGCCAGCAGACGCGGUAAUACAGAGGGUGCAAGCGUUAAUCGAAUUUACUAGGCGACAAGCGGUCUUAGGUGGCCAAUUAAGUCAAAUGUGAAAUCCCCGAGCUUAACUUGGGAAUUGCAUUCGAUACUGGUUGGCUAGAGUAUGAGAGAGGAUGGUAGAAUUCCAGGUGUAGCGGUGAAAUGCGUAGAGAUCUGGAGGAAUACCGAUGGCGAAGGCAGCCAUCUGGCCUAAUACUGACACUGAGGUGCGAAAGCAUGGGGAGCAAACA
RNAcentral lists this ribosomal RNA (424 nucleotides) under uncultured bacterium. RNAcentral's name for it is "partial 16S ribosomal RNA". It matches the Rfam family "Bacterial small subunit ribosomal RNA", at positions 359 to 774 of the family's 1533-position model. The record is from RNAcentral.